Molecule: ribosomal RNA, 201 nt
Filed under: uncultured bacterium
Lineage: Bacteria
Description: partial 16S ribosomal RNA
Rfam family: Bacterial small subunit ribosomal RNA
Source: RNAcentral
UUCGGACUGGAGUCUGCAACCCGACUCCACGAAGUUGGAUUCGCUAGUAAUCGCGCAUCAGCCAUGGCGCGGUGAAUACGUUCCCGGGCCUUGUACACACCGCCCGUCAAGCCAUGGGAGCCGGGGGCGCCUGAAGUCCGGGACCGCGAGGACCGGCCUAGGGCGAAACUGGUAACUGGGGCUAAGUCGUAACAAGGUAGC